AGCAGACCUGUCCUUAGUACGAGAGGACCGGGAUGGACGAACCUCUGGUGUUCCUGUUGUCGCGCCAGCGGCAAUGCAGGGUAGCUAUGUUUGGAAUGGAUAACCGCUGAAAGCAUCUAAGCGGGAAGCCAACUGCAAGAUUAGAUUUCUCUGGGGCUUCGGCCCCCUAAAGACCCCUCGGAGACUACGAGGUUGAUAGGAAUAAAGUGUUCAUACAGUAAUGUAUUCAGCUUAUAUUUACUAAUAGGUCGUGAGGCUUUUUUAAA
This 266-nucleotide ribosomal RNA is filed under the name Bdellovibrio sp. RNAcentral describes it as "partial 23S ribosomal RNA". It matches the Rfam family "Bacterial large subunit ribosomal RNA", at positions 2665 to 2925 of the family's 2925-position model. The record is from RNAcentral. Lineage: Bacteria; Pseudomonadati; Bdellovibrionota; Bdellovibrionia; Bdellovibrionales; Pseudobdellovibrionaceae.